Non-coding RNA from Paramuricea clavata, 748 nucleotides. Lineage: Eukaryota; Metazoa; Cnidaria; Anthozoa; Malacalcyonacea; Plexauridae. The record is from the annotation of a GenBank genome assembly.
CUUAGCAUAAGUGUCAGCAUCCAGUGAACAGAAUUCUCUAGUACACCUCAGGCCUUUUGACAUCGUCCUCGUCAUCCUCGUCCGUAGACGGGUUAUUUUAUUUGUGCGCGCGGAGUAUUAAAGGAUGGACAGCUAUCGUUGAAAUGGGGUACAAACCACCAUUACAUACGAGGGUAUUUUCCUGUUUCUUUUCUUUACUUUUCUAUAUUAUUCGGCCUAUACACUAUUUAAAUAUUUAAACACAACACAAAUGUGCCAGAACACAUUGGAAACUCGACCAGUUUUUCCGCAAGAGAGCCAGUAGCACUCGACAAGCCCAAACACACCCUGUAGUGUGCUAACAAACUAAUGGGCUCAGAAACCCAAAAUUGUUUUACACAGUUUACUUACUACUCCCCAUUGUUUCCAGACCCUCCCCCUCUUUUAUCCAGUUGCUCCUCCAUCAUUUACUGCUCAUAGGCGAACGCUCCUCUGCUCUGCAUAUUAAUAAAUAUGCAUAAUGCUUAAUUCGACUCGGCUUCCCGUGGCUGAAAUAACAAUCUGUACUUCGCACAGAUCGUCAAUUAAUGGCAGGGAAGUGCUGUCCUUUUGGACAACACUUCGCCACGUGAAGUGUAUUUUUACAGGUCAUUCAGGUCGCAGUGCGACCUAAUGACCUGACCUAGAGACUCGAUGGGUAAGUCAUUUCAGUUGAGUUACCAUCAGUUGUUCACCAGUUCAACUAGUACUCAACAUCAACGAGCUGACU